This 1042-nucleotide long non-coding RNA is filed under the name Struthio camelus australis. RNAcentral's name for it is "lncRNA (ENSSCUG00000017040.1)". Lineage: Eukaryota; Metazoa; Chordata; Aves; Struthioniformes; Struthionidae. The record is from RNAcentral.
AUGGGUUUCCACUUUGCCGUUUCUGAUCUAGAUGACAUCAUAAAGCGCCACAAGAAAGAGCAAACCAAUGCCCAAGCGGCCGGGAACAGGCGGAGGCAGCAGAUCAAGAACAGGAGUUCGGCGUACUGGUAUGGGCGGCCCCGCUUCCGCACCUGGAUGCAGAGGAAUUUGCAAGGACCUAACCGCUUUAGAAGAGGCUUUGGACAACAACAGUACAAUAGGAGGCAAUUCAGGAAUGCUGCGCCCGGUCCCAGGAGAAGAGCAGCUGCUGCAUUAAAUGGAGUGAGCCCCUUAAAUCGCCAGGCAUCUGCUCAAGAGGGUAGCAAGAGCGACGACGUUUUUGCCAAAAGCGGUAGCAGCGGGCAGCCGGAGGCGCGGAGACGGCCACCGCCGGGCCUCAAGAGAUUCAGAGCAGCAGCUGCCAACACCCACGCCGCAGUGGGAAGCAGGCCUUUCGUGCUGAACAGGGGACCAGGCUUCCAGCAGAAGCGGAUGCAGCAGCGCUACUCCAAAGCCAACUUCCAGAGAGGGCAAAUGGAUGCAGUUGGAGAAGGGAAACAACCAAGGAUGAGAAGGUGGCAAGUGAAACCCAGCCCCGGAGCAGUCCUGACGGUUUCUGUGGCUAAUCCCCAGGCGAGCCAGACCAGCGCGCCCGGAGGCAAGCGGCCCUUCCUGAGGAGCCCCAGGCCCCCGCCGCAGGUGGCCAAGCCCCAGCCCAAGGGAGUGCUGCUGAGGUUCAACUUCCGCGCGAUGGCGAACCAGGUUUUCGGGGCUGCCAGUUAGCUUUAUCUCCUGUAAGGCGGGAGGAAAAUCCUGUAGCCUGGCUGGACAGCUUGUUCGCAAAACUGAAGGCGCCUGAGAAGACUGUUCAGCGACUACAGACUCGGCCUAAUUUUUCCCGUGCCGCUGCCCCCCUUGGUCUGUCCUAGCGCUUGCUCGGAGAGGGAGGAUGAUGCUCUGGCUCCUUGUGAGCGGUCCUGGCCGGGGGAGGACGUUUCGCUGGUGCUCCGGGCGCUCCCUGCUCCUCAGGGACGCGCAACGC